Molecule: ribosomal RNA, 431 nt
Filed under: uncultured bacterium
Lineage: Bacteria
Description: partial 16S ribosomal RNA
Rfam family: Bacterial small subunit ribosomal RNA
Source: RNAcentral
AACGAACGCUGGCGGCAGGCCUAACACAUGCAAGUCGAGCGCCCUUUCGGGGGAGCGGCGGACGGGUGAGUAACGCGUGGGAAUAUGCCCUUCUCUACGGAAUAGCCUCGGGAAACUGAGAGUAAUACCGUAUACGCCCUAUGGGGGAAAGAUUUAUCGGGGAAGGAUUAGCCCGCGUUGGAUUAGGUAGUUGGUGGGGUAAUGGCCUACCAAGCCGACGAUCCAUAGCUGGUGUGAGAGGAUGAUCAGCCACACUGGGACUGAGACACGGCCCAGACUCCUACGGGAGGCAGCAGUGGGGAAUCUGAGACAAGGGGGGCAACCCUGAGCGAGCCAUGCCGCGUGAGUGAUGAAGGCCUUAGGGUUGUAAAGCUCUUUCAGCUGGGAAGAUAAUGACGGUACCAGCAGAAGAAGCCCCGGCUAACUCCGUG